GGGUUGUGAGGUUAAGCGACUAAGCGUACACGGUGGAUGCCCUGGCAGUCAGAGGCGAUGAAGGACGUGCUAAUCUGCGAUAAGCGUCGGUGAGGUGAUAUGAACCGUUAUAACCGGCGAUUUCCGAAUGGGGAACCCAGUGUGUUUCGACACACUAUCAUUAACUGAAUCCAUAGGUUAAUGAGGCGAACCGGGGAACUGAAACAUCUAAGUACCCGAGGAAAAGAAAUCAACCGAGAUUCCCCCAGUAGCGGCGAGCGAACGGGGAGGAGCCCAGAGCCUGAAUCAGUGUGUGUGUUAGUGGAAGCGUCUGGAAAGGCGCGCGAUACAGGGUGACAGCCCCGUACACAAAAAUGCACAUAUUGUGAGCUCGAUGAGUAGGGCGGGACACGUGGUAUCCUGUCUGAAUAUGGGGGGACCAUCCUCCAAGGCUAAAUACUCCUGACUGACCGAUAGUGAACCAGUACCGUGAGGGAAAGGCGAAAAGAACCCCGGCGAGGGGAGUGAAAAAGAACCUGAAACCGUGUACGUACAAGCAGUGGGAGCCUCUUUUAUGGGGUGACUGCGUACCUUUUGUAUAAUGGGUCAGCGACUUAUAUUCUGUAGCAAGGUUAACCGAAUAGGGGAGCCGAAGGGAAACCGAGUCUUAACUGGGCGUUAAGUUGCAGGGUAUAGACCCGAAACCCGGUGAUCUAGCCAUGGGCAGGUUGAAGGUUGGGUAACACUAACUGGAGGACCGAACCGACUAAUGUUGAAAAAUUAGCGGAUGACUUGUGGCUGGGGGUGAAAGGCCAAUCAAACCGGGAGAUAGCUGGUUCUCCCCGAAAGCUAUUUAGGUAGCGCCUCGUGAAUUCAUCUCCGGGGGUAGAGCACUGUUUCGGCAAGGGGGUCAUCCCGACUUACCAACCCGAUGCAAACUGCGAAUACCGGAGAAUGUUAUCACGGGAGACACACGGCGGGUGCUAACGUCCGUCGUGAAGAGGGAAACAACCCAGACCGCCAGCUAAGGUCCCAAAGUCAUGGUUAAGUGGGAAACGAUGUGGGAAGGCCCAGACAGCCAGGAUGUUGGCUUAGAAGCAGCCAUCAUUUAAAGAAAGCGUAAUAGCUCACUGGUCGAGUCGGCCUGCGCGGAAGAUGUAACGGGGCUAAACCAUGCACCGAAGCUGCGGCAGCGACACUAUGUGUUGUUGGGUAGGGGAGCGUUCUGUAAGCCUGUGAAGGUGGCCUGUGAGGGUUGCUGGAGGUAUCAGAAGUGCGAAUGCUGACAUAAGUAACGAUAAAGCGGGUGAAAAGCCCGCUCGCCGGAAGACCAAGGGUUCCUGUCCAACGUUAAUCGGGGCAGGGUGAGUCGACCCCUAAGGCGAGGCCGAAAGGCGUAGUCGAUGGGAAACAGGUUAAUAUUCCUGUACUUGGUGUUACUGCGAAGGGGGACGGAGAAGGCUAUGUUGGCCGGGCGACGGUUGUCCCGGUUUAAGCGUGUAGGCUGGUUUUCCAGGCAAAUCCGGAAAACCAAGGCUGAGGCGUGAUGACGAGGCACUACGGUGCUGAAGCGACAAAUGCCCUGCUUCCAGGAAAGCCUCUAAGCAUCAGGUAACAUCAAAUCGUACCCCAAACCGACACAGGUGGUCAGGUAGAGAAUACCAAGGCGCUUGAGAGAACUCGGGUGAAGGAACUAGGCAAAAUGGUGCCGUAACUUCGGGAGAAGGCACGCUGAUAUGUAGGUGAAGCGACUUGCUCGUGGAGCUGAAAUCAGUCGAAGAUACCAGCUGGCUGCAACUGUUUAUUAAAACACAGCACUGUGCAAACACGAAAGUGGACGUAUACGGUGUGACGCCUGCCCGGUGCCGGAAGGUUAAUUGAUGGGGUUAGCGGUAACGCGAAGCUCUUGAUCGAAGCCCCGGUAAACGGCGGCCGUAACUAUAACGGUCCUAAGGUAGCGAAAUUCCUUGUCGGGUAAGUUCCGACCUGCACGAAUGGCGUAAUGAUGGCCAGGCUGUCUCCACCCGAGACUCAGUGAAAUUGAACUCGCUGUGAAGAUGCAGUGUACCCGCGGCAAGACGGAAAGACCCCGUGAACCUUUACUAUAGCUUGACACUGAACAUUGAGCCUUGAUGUGUAGGAUAGGUGGGAGGCUUUGAAGUGUGGACGCCAGUCUGCAUGGAGCCGACCUUGAAAUACCACCCUUUAAUGUUUGAUGUUCUAACGUUGGCCCGUAAUCCGGGUUGCGGACAGUGUCUGGUGGGUAGUUUGACUGGGGCGGUCUCCUCCUAAAGAGUAACGGAGGAGCACGAAGGUUGGCUAAUCCUGGUCGGACAUCAGGAGGUUAGUGCAAUGGCAUAAGCCAGCUUGACUGCGAGCGUGACGGCGCGAGCAGGUGCGAAAGCAGGUCAUAGUGAUCCGGUGGUUCUGAAUGGAAGGGCCAUCGCUCAACGGAUAAAAGGUACUCCGGGGAUAACAGGCUGAUACCGCCCAAGAGUUCAUAUCGACGGCGGUGUUUGGCACCUCGAUGUCGGCUCAUCACAUCCUGGGGCUGAAGUAGGUCCCAAGGGUAUGGCUGUUCGCCAUUUAAAGUGGUACGCGAGCUGGGUUUAGAACGUCGUGAGACAGUUCGGUCCCUAUCUGCCGUGGGCGCUGGAGAACUGAGGGGGGCUGCUCCUAGUACGAGAGGACCGGAGUGGACGCAUCACUGGUGUUCGGGUUGUCAUGCCAAUGGCACUGCCCGGUAGCUAAAUGCGGAAGAGAUAAGUGCUGAAAGCAUCUAAGCACGAAACUUGCCCCGAGAUGAGUUCUCCCUGACUCCUUGAGAGUCCUGAAGGAACGUUGAAGACGACGACGUUGAUAGGCCGGGUGUGUAAGCGCAGCGAUGCGUUGAGCUAACCGGUACUAAUGAACCGUGAGGCUUAACCUUACAACGCCGAAG
This 2920-nucleotide ribosomal RNA is filed under the name Escherichia coli. RNAcentral's name for it is "23S ribosomal RNA". It matches the Rfam family "Bacterial large subunit ribosomal RNA". The record is from RNAcentral. Lineage: Bacteria; Pseudomonadati; Pseudomonadota; Gammaproteobacteria; Enterobacterales; Enterobacteriaceae.